RNAcentral lists this long non-coding RNA (398 nucleotides) under Volvox carteri. Its description in RNAcentral is "long non-coding RNA (VCAR_LNC001004)". The record is from RNAcentral. Lineage: Eukaryota; Viridiplantae; Chlorophyta; Chlorophyceae; Chlamydomonadales; Volvocaceae.
UUGAUUUCCCCUACAUUCACACACCCGGAAGCGCAACUUUUCCCUGCUCACGUCAAGUGCAUAAAGGCAGGCGUAAGUUACAAGUUACGAGGAUGAGAAGCACAUUUUGCCGGACUGUCCGGUGUACGACAAAAUCAGAUCUAAUAUGGAUUUCCCACGCUUCGAGCAUAUGGAGGACGCUAUGAAGUGGGAACCUGAACGCCUGGCAAGGAUGCUGGAACGUACCGCAACUCUAUCGUUCCCUUUGGUCGUUAGUAUCCUUUAUCACCCUUUAAGCCAGGGGGCCAUGGACGGUAAAUCGUUUUUGGUGCGGUUACGCGGUGGACUAUCAUCGUCCUCCCACGUCUGCUUGAGCACGAAGCGCCUUAGAGCAACGUGCCGGGUCUCCCAGACUUCCG